GACGAACGCUGGCGGCGUGCCUAAUACAUGCAAGUAGAACGCUGAAGGAGGAGCUUGCUUCUCUGGAUGAGUUGCGAACGGGUGAGUAACGCGUAGGUAACCUGCCUGGUAGCGGGGGAUAACUAUUGGAAACGAUAGCUAAUACCGCAUAAUAGUAGAUGUUGCAUGACAUUUGCUUAAAAGGUGCAAUUGCAUCACUACCAGAUGGACCUGCGUUGUAUUAGCUAGUUGGUGGGGUAACGGCUCACCAAGGCGACGAUACAUAGCCGACCUGAGAGGGGGAUCGGCCACACGGGGACUGAGACACGGCCCAGACCCCUAAGGGAGGCAGCAGUAGGGAAUCUUCGGCAAUGGACGGAAGUCUGACCGAGCAACCCCGCGGGAGGGAAAAAGGUUUUCGGAUCGAAAAGCUCUGUUUUAAGAGAAGAACGGGUGGGGGGGGGGAAAGUUCACCCGGUGACGGUAUUUUACCAAAAAGGGACGGCUAACUACGU
This 494-nucleotide ribosomal RNA is filed under the name uncultured bacterium. RNAcentral describes it as "partial 16S ribosomal RNA". It matches the Rfam family "Bacterial small subunit ribosomal RNA", at positions 28 to 506 of the family's 1533-position model. The record is from RNAcentral.